Molecule: long non-coding RNA, 65 nt
Organism: Drosophila sechellia
Lineage: Eukaryota; Metazoa; Arthropoda; Insecta; Diptera; Drosophilidae
Exons: 3
Source: RefSeq, a predicted model, not a curated record
UAAGUUAUUCUUAAGUUAAGCAAAUAUAGGGAACCUUUAGCAAGAUAUUUAAAUAUUAAACUAAG